Molecule: transfer RNA, 72 nt
Filed under: Bos taurus (domestic cattle)
Lineage: Eukaryota; Metazoa; Chordata; Mammalia; Artiodactyla; Bovidae
Also listed under: 4 other names
Rfam family: tRNA
About the family: Transfer RNA (tRNA) molecules are approximately 80 nucleotides in length. Their secondary structure includes four short double-helical elements and three loops (D, anti-codon, and T loops). Further hydrogen bonds mediate the characteristic L-shaped molecular structure. tRNAs have two regions of fundamental functional importance: the anti-codon, which is responsible for specific mRNA codon recognition, and the 3' end, to which the tRNAs corresponding amino acid is attached (by aminoacyl-tRNA synthetases). tRNAs cope with the degeneracy of the genetic code in two manners: having more than one tRNA (with a specific anti-codon) for a particular amino acid; and 'wobble' base-pairing, i.e. permitting non-standard base-pairing at the 3rd anti-codon position.
Source: Rfam by way of RNAcentral
UCUCUAGUAGCUUAGAUGAUAAAGAAUCUGCCUGCAAUACAGGACAUCCAGGUUCGAUCCCUGGAUUGGGAA